RNAcentral lists this ribosomal RNA (633 nucleotides) under uncultured bacterium. RNAcentral describes it as "bacterial SSU rRNA". It matches the Rfam family "Bacterial small subunit ribosomal RNA", at positions 56 to 678 of the family's 1533-position model. The record is from RNAcentral.
UGCAGUCGACGGUAACAGGAAGAAGCUUGCUUCUUUGCUGACGAGUGGCGGACGGGUGAGUAAUGUCUGGGAAACUGCCUGAUGGAGGGGGAUAACUACUGGAAACGGUAGCUAAUACCGCAUAACGUCGCAAGACCAAAGAGGGGGACCUUCGGGCCUCUUGCCAUCGGAUGUGCCCAGAUGGGAUUAGCUAGUAGGUGGGGUAACGGCUCACCUAGGCGACGAUCCCUAGCUGGUCUGAGAGGAUGACCAGCCACACUGGAACUGAGACACGGUCCAGACUCCUACGGGAGGCAGCAGUGGGGAAUAUUGCACAAUGGGCGCAAGCCUGAUGCAGCCAUGCCGCGUGUAUGAAGAAGGCCUUCGGGUUGUAAAGUACUUUCAGCGGGGAGGAAGGGAGUAAAGUUAAUACCUUUGCUCAUUGACGUUACCCGCAGAAGAAGCACCGGCUAACUCCGUGCCAGCAGCCGCGGUAAUACGGAGGGUGCAAGCGUUAAUCGGAAUUACUGGGCGUAAAGCGCGCGUAGGUGGUUUGUUAAGUUGGAUGUGAAAUCCCCGGGCUCAACCUGGGAACUGCAUUCAAAACUGACUGACUAGAGUAUGGUAGAGGGUGGGUGGGAAUUUCCUGUGUAG